Molecule: ribosomal RNA, 501 nt
Filed under: uncultured bacterium
Lineage: Bacteria
Description: partial 16S ribosomal RNA
Rfam family: Bacterial small subunit ribosomal RNA
Source: RNAcentral
AUUGAACGCUGGCGGCAGGCUUAACACAUGCAAGUCGAGCGGAGAUGAGGUGCUUGCACCUUAUCUUAGCGGCGGACGGGUGAGUAAUGCUUAGGAAUCUGCCUAUUAGUGGGGGACAACAUUCCGAAAGGAAUGCUAAUACCGCAUACGUCCUACGGGAGAAAGCAGGGGAUCUUCGGACCUUGCGCUAAUAGAUGAGCCUAAGUCGGAUUAGCUAGUUGGUGGGGUAAAGGCCUACCAAGGCGACGAUCUGUAGCGGGUCUGAGAGGAUGAUCCGCCACACUGGGACUGAGAAACGGCCCAGAAUCCUACGGGAGGCAGCAGUGGGGAAUAUUGGACAAUGGGGGAAACCCUGAUCCAGCCAUGCCGCGUGUGUGAAGAAGGCCUUAUGGUUGUAAAGCACUUUAAGCGAGGAGGAGGCUACUGAGACUAAUACUCUUGGAUAGUGGACGUUACUCGCAGAAUAAGCACCGGCUGACUCUGUGCCAGCCGCCGCUGUAA